AACGAACGCUGGCGGCAUGCCUAACACAUGCAAGUCGAACGAGACCUUCGGGUCUAGUGGCGCACGGGUGCGUAACGCGUGGGAACCUGCCCUUAGGUUCGGAAUAACUCCCCGAAGGGGGUGCUAAUACCGGAUAAUGUCCUCGGACCAAAGAUUUAUCGCCUUUGGAUGGGCCCGCGUUGGAUUAGCUAGUUGGUAGGGUAAAAGCCUACCAAGGCGACGAUCCAUAGCUGGUCUGAGAGGAUGAUCAGCCACACUGGGACUGAGACACGGCCCAGACUCCUACGGGAGGCAGCAGUGGGGAAUAUUGGACAAUGGGCGAAAGCCUGAUCCAGCAAUGCCGCGUGAGUGAUGAAGGCCUUAGGGUUGUAAAGCUCUUUUACCCGGGAUGAUAAUGACAGUACCGGGAGAAUAAGCUCCGGCUAACUCCGUG
Molecule: ribosomal RNA, 433 nt
Filed under: uncultured bacterium
Lineage: Bacteria
Description: partial 16S ribosomal RNA
Rfam family: Bacterial small subunit ribosomal RNA
Source: RNAcentral